Molecule: ribosomal RNA, 253 nt
Filed under: uncultured bacterium
Lineage: Bacteria
Description: partial 16S ribosomal RNA
Rfam family: Bacterial small subunit ribosomal RNA
Source: RNAcentral
UACAGAGGUCUCAAGCGUUGUUCGGAAUCACUGGGCGUAAAGGGUGCGUAGGUGGCGUGGUAAGUCAGAUGUGAAAGCCCGGGGCUCAACCCCGGAAUUGCAUCCGAUACUACCAUGCUAGAGUACUGAAGAGGUGACUAGAAUUCUCGGUGUAGCAGUGAAAUGCGUAGAUAUCGAGAGGAAUACCAAAGGCGAAGGCAGGUCACUGGGCAGUUACUGACGCUGAGGUGCGAAAGCGUGGGGAGCAAACAGG